UACGUAGGGUGCAAGCGUUUGUCCGGAAUUAUUGGGCGUAAAGAGCUCGUAGGCGGUCUGUCGCGUCUGCUGUGAAAACUCAGGGCUUAACCCUGAGCUUGCAGUGGGUACGGGCAGACUAGAGUGCGGUAGGGAAGACUGGAAUUCCUGGUGUAGCGGUGAAAUGCGCAGAUAUCAGGAGGAACACCGGUGGCGAAGGCGGGUCUCUGGGCCGAUACUGACGCUGGAGGAGCGAAAGCGUGGGGAGCGAACAGG
This 255-nucleotide ribosomal RNA is filed under the name uncultured bacterium. RNAcentral's name for it is "partial 16S ribosomal RNA". It matches the Rfam family "Bacterial small subunit ribosomal RNA", at positions 524 to 776 of the family's 1533-position model. The record is from RNAcentral.